UACAGAGGGUGCAAGCGUUAAUCGGAAUUACUGGGCGUAAAGCGUGCGUAGACGGUUAUGUAAGUCAGAUGUGAAAGCCCCGGGCUCAACCUGGGAAUGGCAUUUGAGACUGCAUAGCUAGGAUGCGGAAGAGGGAAGUGGAAUUUCCGGUGUAGCGGUGAAAUGCGUAGAUAUCGGAAGGAACAUCAGUGGCGAAAGCGACUUCCUGGUCCAGCAUCGACGUUCAGGCACGAAAGCGUGGGGGAGCAAACAGG
This 254-nucleotide ribosomal RNA is filed under the name uncultured bacterium. Its description in RNAcentral is "partial 16S ribosomal RNA". It matches the Rfam family "Bacterial small subunit ribosomal RNA", at positions 524 to 776 of the family's 1533-position model. The record is from RNAcentral.